AAGCUCGUAGUUGAAUUUCGAAUGUGGCUGGGCGGUCCGCCUCACGGUGUGUACUGUCUGGCUGUGUUCUCUUUCUUGGUGAGCCGGCAUGCCCUUUACUGGGUGUGUUGGGGAACCAGGACGUUUACCUUGAGAAAAUUAGAGUGUUCAAAGCAGGCCUACGCCCGAAUACAUUAGCAUGGCAUAAUAAAAUAGGACGUGCGGUUCUAUUUUGUUGGUUUCUAGAGCCGCAGUAAUGAUUAAUAGGGAUAGUGG
RNAcentral lists this ribosomal RNA (255 nucleotides) under uncultured Basidiomycota. RNAcentral's name for it is "partial 18S ribosomal RNA". It matches the Rfam family "Eukaryotic small subunit ribosomal RNA", at positions 624 to 884 of the family's 1831-position model. The record is from RNAcentral. Lineage: Eukaryota; Fungi; Basidiomycota.